This 248-nucleotide small RNA is filed under the name Oryza sativa Japonica Group (Japanese rice). RNAcentral's name for it is "sRNA Os01g0595850". Lineage: Eukaryota; Viridiplantae; Streptophyta; Magnoliopsida; Poales; Poaceae. The record is from RNAcentral.
AUUUUGCUAAAGCUAGGGACGUUACUAGCUUUCCUUUUUCCUUUUUCACUAUCUAUGCAUAUGCAAAUGCAAGAAGCUUGUUUAGAUAUUUAGAUUAUGAUUUGUCUAGAAGAUGGUUUUGUUGGUCAGCUCUGGCAUGAAGAGUGUGUAGUUCUAGCCUGUAGUUCUCGUGCAAUGGCUUAUCAGCUUAAGCUAUUUAACUAUUUUAAGCACUACAUUUAUACUGAUAUAUAUAUAUACUUAAUGAC